CCUACGGGUGGCUGCAGUGAGGAAUAUUGGUCAAUGGACGCAAGUCUGAACCAGCCAUGCCGCGUGCAGGAAGACGGCUCUAUGAGUUGUAAACUGCUUUUGUACGAGGGUAAACGCAGAUACGCGUAUCUGUCUGAAAGUAUCGUACGAAUAAGGAUCGGCCAACUUCGUGCCAGGAGCCGAGGUAAGACGGAGGGUUCAAGCGUUGUCCGGAUUUUUUGGGUUUAAAGGGUGCGUAGGCGGUCGGAUAAGUUAGGGGUGAAAUCCCGAGGCUUAACUUCGGAAUUGCCUCUGAUACUGUUCGGCUAGAGAGUAGGUGCGGUAGGCGGAAUGUAUGGUGUAGCGGUGAAAUGCUUAGAGAUCAUACAGAACACCGAUUGCGAAGGCAGCUUACCAGGCUACAUCUGACGUUGAGGCACGAAAGCGUGGGGAGCAAACAGGAUUAGAUACCCUUGUAGUC
This 460-nucleotide ribosomal RNA is filed under the name uncultured bacterium. RNAcentral describes it as "partial 16S ribosomal RNA". It matches the Rfam family "Bacterial small subunit ribosomal RNA", at positions 338 to 795 of the family's 1533-position model. The record is from RNAcentral.